Molecule: non-coding RNA, 84 nt
Organism: Felis catus (domestic cat)
Lineage: Eukaryota; Metazoa; Chordata; Mammalia; Carnivora; Felidae
Source: Rfam
GCCUCUGUGGCUCAGUCGGUUAAGCAUCUGACUUCGGCUCAGGUCAUGAUCCAUGGUUUGUGGGUUCGAGCCCCACAUCGGGCU